This is a non-coding RNA of Procambarus clarkii (red swamp crayfish), 845 nucleotides long. NCBI's taxonomy places the organism in Eukaryota, Metazoa, Arthropoda, Malacostraca, Decapoda, Cambaridae. The record is from RefSeq and is a predicted model, not a curated record.
UACGUGGUGACUGUUAGUGGUGGUGGUGGUGAGGCGUAGUGUGGUGGUGUUGGUGGUUGUGGUGGUGGUGGCUUAGUGCCACUUGUGUCCUCUCUAGUGGAAGCUACAGCAACAGCUUCAGCAGCAACAGAACGAGAUGGCGGCUUUUAUGGCAAAACAGAUGAUGGGGAGUCAACUCAAUGCUGUUAAAGUGAUCUAGUGAAGGAAAGGCGACCGCUACCUCCUCCGCGCCGCCUGGGUCUGGCUACCACCUGUGUGUGUGUGUGGUGUUUCUCUCUCAUUUCCUCGCCUGCACGCGUAUCUACCUACCUACCUACCUACUCUCCCUCCCUCCUCCUUCCUUCAGUUCAUGCUCCUCUCCUGCUGUGGUUCGAUACGCAAUACUCGCCGACCUCAGCAACUCAAACAAAAAAUCAAUACAAAAAUCAACUUCAAAUCUUCGCCACAGCACUAAAUCCUCUCCCGGAACAAGUCUCCAGCGGCUGUCCAGAUAUCAAUGAGAUAGAUUGCCACACGAUCACACAAGGUCGAUCCUCCUUUAUCCUUCUCCAAGACACUACUUAGCUUCCAACACUCCAUCUUUCUGCGAGAAAGGCUCCAACACUCCAAGUCUUCACCAUGUUCGGAAUGCUGAAUCCUGUCAGUGCCGUCACCAGUCAGCUACCUGGUGGCGGCGACGGAGGCGACGAAGGAGACAAGGAAAAGGAAGAAGAAGCCGAGAGAGAGCGUCUGGAAGCCAUCAGGGAGGCAGAGGACAGGCGUAAGGAGAAGCACCGCAAGCUGGAAGAGGAGCGAGAGGGAAUGAGACAGGGCAUCAGGGACAAGGUAGGUCAGGACGCGGGUGG